Molecule: non-coding RNA, 71 nt
Organism: Podarcis lilfordi (Lilford's wall lizard)
Lineage: Eukaryota; Metazoa; Chordata; Lepidosauria; Squamata; Lacertidae
Source: the annotation of a GenBank genome assembly
GCACAGAAAUGUACACACACACACACACAAAAUAUAUGUGUGCACGCGUGUGUGUGUGUAUGUAUAUGUGU